Molecule: ribosomal RNA, 1278 nt
Filed under: Acremonium alternatum
Lineage: Eukaryota; Fungi; Ascomycota; Sordariomycetes; Hypocreales; Bionectriaceae
Description: eukaryotic LSU rRNA
Rfam family: Eukaryotic large subunit ribosomal RNA
Source: RNAcentral
CUUAAGCAUAUCAAUAAGCGGAGGAAAAGAAACCAACAGGGAUUGCCCUAGUAACGGCGAGUGAAGCGGCAACAGCUCAAAUUUGAAAUCUGGCCUCACGGUCCGAGUUGUAAUUUGUAGAGGAUGCUUCUGGCGACGUGCCUUCCGAGUUCCCUGGAACGGGACGCCAUAGAGGGUGAGAGCCCCGUCCGGUCGUGCACCUAGCCUCUGUGAAGCUCCUUCGACGAGUCGAGUAGUUUGGGAAUGCUGCUCUAAAUGGGAGGUAUACGUCUUCUAAAGCUAAAUACCGGCCAGAGACCGAUAGCGCACAAGUAGAGUGAUCGAAAGAUGAAAAGCACUUUGAAAAGAGGGUUAAAUAGUACGUGAAAUUGCUGAAAGGGAAGCGCUUAUGACCAGACUUGGGCUCGGUGAAUCAUCCGGCGUUCUCGCCGGUGCACUUUGCCGUCCCAGGCCAGCAUCAGUUCGCGCCGGGGGAUAAAGGUUUCGGGAACGUGGCUCCCUCGGGAGUGUUAUAGCCCGUUGCGUAAUACCCUGGCGUGGACUGAGGUCCGCGCUCUGCAAGGAUGCUGGCGUAAUGGUCAUCAGUGACCCGUCUUGAAACACGGACCAAGGAGUCGUCUUCGUAUGCGAGUGUUCGGGUGUCAAACCCCUACGCGUAAUGAAAGUGAACGUAGGAGAGAGCUUCGGCGCAUCUCCGACCGAUCCUGAUGUUCUCGGAUGGAUUUGAGUAAGAGCAUACGGGGCCGGACCCGAAAGAAGGUGAACUAUGCCUGUAUAGGGUGAAGCCAGAGGAAACUCUGGUGGAGGCUCGCAGCGGUUCUGACGUGCAAAUCGAUCGUCAAAUAUGGGCAUGGGGGCGAAAGACUAAUCGAACCUUCUAGUAGCUGGUUUCCGCCGAAGUUUCCCUCAGGAUAGCAGUGUUGAACUCAGUUUUAUGAGGUAAAGCGAAUGAUUAGGGACCCGGGGGCGCUUUUUAGCCUUCAUCCAUUCUCAAACUUUAAAUAUGUAAGAAGCCCUUGUUGCUUAGUUGAACGUGGGCAUUCGAAUGUAUCAACACUAGUGGGCCAUUUUUGGUAAGCAGAACUGGCGAUGCGGGAUGAACCGAACGCGAGGUUAAGGUGCCAGAGUAGACGCUCAUCAGACACCACAAAAGGUGUUAGUACAUUNUGACAUUUGGACGGUGGCCAUGGAAGUCGGAAUCCGCUAAGGACUGUGUAACAACUCNCCAAACGAAUGUACUAGCCCUGAAAAUGGAUGGCGCUCAAGCGUCUCACCCAU